Molecule: ribosomal RNA, 468 nt
Filed under: uncultured bacterium
Lineage: Bacteria
Description: partial 16S ribosomal RNA
Rfam family: Bacterial small subunit ribosomal RNA
Source: RNAcentral
GACGAACGCUGGCGGCGUGCCUAACACAUGCAAGUCGAACGGAAAGACCCUGCUCUUGUGCGUUGCUCGAGUGCCGAGCAGGUGUGUAACACGCGUGUAUCCUGCCCCUGUCUGUGGGAGAUAUUCAGGAAACUGCGGCUCAUACCGGAUAGGAUCUCCUGCUGCACGGGGGUGGAUGGUAAGAUUCGGCGGUUCUGGCUGGACUGGCUGCUUACCCGCUUGAUGGGCGAGGAGUGGCUUACCAAGCCUUUGACGGGUAGCCCGCCUGAGAGGGGGACCGGCGACAUUGGGACUGAGAUACGGCCCAGACGGGUACGGGAGGCAACAGUGGGGAAUAUUGCACAAUGAGCGGAAGCCUGAUGCAGCAACGCUGCGUGCGGGAUAACGGCCUUCGGGUGGUAAACCACUUUCGCCUGUGACGAAGCGUGAGUGACGGUAAUGGGUAAAGAAGCACCGGCUAACUACGUG